This is a long non-coding RNA of Nannospalax galili (Upper Galilee mountains blind mole rat), 266 nucleotides long. RefSeq lists it as uncharacterized. The transcript is spliced from 3 exons. NCBI's taxonomy places the organism in Eukaryota, Metazoa, Chordata, Mammalia, Rodentia, Spalacidae. The record is from RefSeq and is a predicted model, not a curated record.
GGUCCAGAGAACUGGGUGUUCUGCACAAUCUCGCGUGGGACUCCCACCCCAGAGAGUGGUGCUGUUGGGAGCUGGGGAUUUGAAGGACGUGUGAAGGAGAAGUCUCGCAGUGGUGUGCUGGGUGCACGUCGUCUUCGUGGUCAUCAGGAGUGGUGGGUGCCAGUCUUGCAAGCCUGCAUCGGUUUCGCCCAGGCUUCUCUUUCAUGCAUUGGUGCUCCAGAGAACUGGGUGUCCUGCAUGAUCUCACGUGGGGCUCCCACCCCGUG